GUCUGCAGCCAUACCACCCUGAAUGCACCUGAUCUCGUCUGAUCUUGGAAGCUAAACAGGGUCAGGCCUGGUUAGUACUUGGAUGGAAGACCCCAGUCUCAGGCAUGAGGUCUCUGAUG
This 119-nucleotide ribosomal RNA is filed under the name Castor canadensis (American beaver). The record is from RNAcentral. Lineage: Eukaryota; Metazoa; Chordata; Mammalia; Rodentia; Castoridae.